Molecule: ribosomal RNA, 253 nt
Filed under: uncultured bacterium
Lineage: Bacteria
Description: partial 16S ribosomal RNA
Rfam family: Bacterial small subunit ribosomal RNA
Source: RNAcentral
UACAGAGGUCCCAAGCGUUGUUCGGAUUCAUUGGGCGUAAAGGGUGCGUAGGCGGCGCGGUAAGUCGGGUGUGAAAUUUCGAGGCUUAACUUCGAAACUGCAUUCGAUACUGCCGUGCUUGAGGACUGGAGAGGAGACUGGAAUUUACGGUGUAGCGGUGAAAUGCGUAGAUAUCGUAAGGAAGACCAGUGGCGAAGGCGGGUCUCUGGAUAGUUCCUGACGCUGAGGCACGAAGGCCAGGGGAGCAAACGGG